CGAAAUGAGGGAUGCUCAACUACCGGACUUACCGAUAGAUGGCUCUACCAGCUGAUUACUGUCGUCUGUAUUGACCGCCAUAUUCGAAUUUGGCAAGAAGUUUCUCUCGGUCUGUACGGUGUAUAAGGAAUUAAGUAUUAACGAAAUGGUGAUUUCUUGUUCCGCUUUCAAUUGUACGAAGCGAUGGAGUAAGGAAAGUGACUUACCAUUUCACAGGUAAUAGGACUACCGAUACAAUACGAUAAAAAAAAAGACUUAGUGCGUUUGCUAAUGCGAUGUUUUUGAACAGGUUUCUCCUAAAGCACCCAGAGCUGCUAAAGAAGUGUAUUACUUCCGUGAAGCGGAAAGGUUUUAAUCCUACGUCUUGCAGUUCUCUUUGCGGAAACCAUUUGCGACAAGAUGAUUACGCAGUGAGCCCUAGAACGUGGAAGAAACGUCUCAAACCCGAAGCAGUGCCAUCAGUUUUUGACUUUCCGACUCAUUUGAUGCCACCAAAUAAACAGCGACGAUGACAUGUUGUUAGGAUUUUGAGUGACAACGAAUGCUUCUCCAUUUGAGCGUUCUGUCAUAGAAUCUGUGCUCGAUUUGCCAGCUGCAGAACCUACUGAUUUCGUGGAGAAUGUUGUCAAUGAGAAUUCUUCCGUGGAAAGCAUGUCCCAAUUAUCCAAUGCAGAAGCUGCGAAUUGUGUCAAAAACAGUGCAGUUGGUUCUUCAGCAAUUGAUUGUGGUAUACAGUCGAAAGUAGAAAUGGAAGACAAGGCGACCGAAACUUGCAAUUUUUUCUCAGACAUUGUGCACGAAUUAAAACGUAAACUGAAGUGCGUCUGUGAAAAACUUCGAAGAAGAGAGAAGAAAGUAUGUUCCAUGGAUGACAUCAUAAGUUCAUUGAAGGAGAAUGGGCAUCUUCCUAAGAAGUUACAUAAUUUCCUCAAUCAUCAGAAAGGAAAACAAGUGGAAUUAGUGUGCAAUUUAGUGAACAACUCUCUCUCGUCAAAGGGUAAUAGAUACACAACAAAUGUGAAAAUGUUUGUGAUGACUGUGUACUUUUAUUCACCAGCAGCAUGUGAUUACCUGCAAAAAUUAAUGCCUCUGCCCCAUAAAUCAUUGAUUUCCAAAUGGGUGGCUAGCGUAGACUGUGAACCUGGCUUCUUAAAAGAUUUUUUUUAAGUACAUUGAUUUGAACCAAAUUGUAAGGGACCAGUUCAGCGAUUCAUGUCUAAUUGUAGACAGUAUGGCAAUUAGGAAGCAAGUAGUUUGGGACCGAGGAACUAAGCAAUACACAGUUUUUUUUUAGACUUUGGUGGGGAAGUUUCUCAGUCAAAAUAAGUAAUAGAGGCAUCUAAGGCUCUGACUUUCAUGCUUGGCUCUAUUAAAGGCAAAUUUAAAUGCCCGAUUGCAUAUUUCUUUAUCAACGGUGUACAGGCAAAUAAUCAGGCCACACUGAUAAAAUCUGCUUUGAGAGGCUGCAUAGUUCUGGCAUUAAGGUUUGGUGUGUUACAUGUGAUGGCUGCAAGGUAAAUAUAAGCACUUGGCUGUACUUUAAAUUUUUCCAAGGGUGAUUUUAAAAGCCACUUUCCUCAUCCUGUGGAAAAAUACAAUGUUUAUUGUAUCUUUGACAUGUGUCAUAUGAUUAAGUUAGCCAUAAAUGCUGUAGCAGAAGUAUCUAUCGAGUCUCCAACUGGCAUUAUUAGAUGGCAUUUCAUUGAGCAAUUGAAGAAGGUACAACAAGAAGAAGGUAUGACAUUUGCCAACAAACUAUCAUAGCAACAUAUAAGUUAUGUAAAUAGAAGAAUGAAUGUUUCAUUAUCUACACAGACUUUGAAUUCUAGUGUGGCAGAUAGUAUAGAGUUUUUGAGGAGGGUUGGUGAACCAAAUUUUAAAGGAAGUGAAGCAACAGUAGAAUUUUUGUAUUAUAUUGAUAGGAUUUUUGAUAUUCUGAACUCCAGAAAUCCAUUAGGUAAAGGGUAUAAGAGCCCCCUGACACUUGACAACAAAUCUUAUUGGCUUGGUAUUUUCAGACACUAAAAAUUAUAUCAAAAGCUUAAAAAUUAUUGGUAUUCCGUUGCUGCUCCAUGCAAGAAGUACUUUUGCUUUUGGGAUAAUUUUCGAUAUGCAAUCAGUCAGGCACAUAGCUCUGUCAAGUAUGCUUCGUGUCGAAUCUCCUCUGAAGUAUUUGCUGACAUAUAAACUGUCACAAGAUCACAUAGGGCUUUUUUUUCCUGCUUUCGGCCCAGAGGUAGUUGGAACAACAAUCCAAAUGCAUACCAGUUCAAAUGUGCCAUGAGAAAGUUUCUCUUGGGUAACAGUGUCACUGUAAUGAAUGAGAAUUGAUCAAAUUUUAAUGUGUGUUGUUUGCCACCUGUUUAUGAUUUUCAUGCAAGAAAGCAUGUAGUAGAAAGUGAUGAAAGUGUUGCAGAAAAUGAAAUAGAGAAGUGGUGUGCACUUCUUGAUGAUAAGAUUAAGUUCUCAUUUUACAAGCAAAACAUAGUCUAUUAUAUUGCAGGAUAUGUGUCAUUGCGCUUGUCAAGGCAGAUCACAUGCAAAGACUGUCUUCACAUACUGAAGCCACCAGUAGUUAAAUCUGCAUUAGAAUGUGAUGCUCUCUAUGCUUUUCCCAAUAUGGCCAGUAAAAAUGCAUUUGUAAAUUUUGUUAACCGGGGAGAACUGGUUAAAACAAAUGGCUGCGUAUACUCUGUUGUAGAAUACUCAGAUAAACUGUUUCAGAUGUUUGUGAUUGCUUGGUAUAUGCGACGGAAAUAUAUACAGGCCAAGAUUUUGCAUUCUGUUAAAAAUAAUUUUGUAGAUUACCCAUUUCCUGCUCUUGGUCAUGAUUACCGUUAUGAAAUUGGGAUUGAGGACUUACAUCAGACUCAACUUGUUUGUAAGAUUGCAUCCCUGUACUCCUGCAUACGCUUAAAAACAUAUGGGAAAAAAUGUCUGCUGAGAAAAUUUUAAACAACAAAUCAAGUAUAAGGCAGAAGUUAAAUAAACUCAUAUUGUUUAAUCAUGUAUAGUGCGCAAAUUGGAAAAGAUUAUGUAAUGGAACAUUCCAUGCAGAUGGGUGUGAUAUUUUGACAGCUUUUUUAAAACUUUGUCCAUAGAUUUGUUGUUGUGGCAUGAUGAACUUCAAAGGACGAAUCACAUUGAAGUAAAAUUAACUCUUUACAUCCUGUGUAGAUAUUGUAACAAAAUUCUAAUUGUUUAUUAUAUAAGCUUAUUUUAAGAUGUUUGGUGUUACAAAAUAUGCACUUGCAUUAAAAACAGGUGAUUUGUGUGAAAUUAAUGGGAAAAAAAGUUCUGAGACUUAUUUGACAGAUGGCUUUCAGUGUGAGAAAAUAUUUCCCUCAAUAACCAUGUUAACUUGAAUUUGAUCUAAUGGAGUAUGCAGUGGCCCUAUGUUUCAAACAGUAAUGUUUGUGGAUACUCUGCAACAUAAGAGCAAUAAAAUUGU
Long non-coding RNA from Schistocerca nitens (vagrant locust), 3451 nucleotides. RefSeq lists it as uncharacterized. NCBI's taxonomy places the organism in Eukaryota, Metazoa, Arthropoda, Insecta, Orthoptera, Acrididae. The transcript has 3 exons. The record is from RefSeq and is a predicted model, not a curated record.